CAAAGCUUGACAUGCUCUUGCACCAGCCGUAAUGGGCUGUCCUCUUCGGAGGCGGGAGCACAGGUGCUGCAUGGCUGUCGUCAGCUCGUGUCGUGAGAUGUUGGGUUCAGUCCCGCAACGAGCACAACCCCUGUCGGAUGUUACCAGUCAUCCGAGACCGCCGCGAUGAACGUGGAGGAAGGAGGGGAUGACGUCAAGUCAGCACGGCCCGUACGUUUUGGGCGACACACACGCUACAAUGGUCGGGACAACGAGUUGCGAACCAGCGAUGGGGAGCUAAUCUCAUCAAACCCGGCCUCAGUUCAGAUUGGAGGCUGAAACUCGCCUCCAUGAAGUCGGAGUUGCUAGUAACCGUAGGUCAGCACACCACGGUGAAUACGUUCCC
Molecule: ribosomal RNA, 385 nt
Filed under: uncultured bacterium
Lineage: Bacteria
Description: bacterial SSU rRNA
Rfam family: Bacterial small subunit ribosomal RNA
Source: RNAcentral